This 1063-nucleotide ribosomal RNA is filed under the name uncultured bacterium. RNAcentral describes it as "bacterial SSU rRNA". It matches the Rfam family "Bacterial small subunit ribosomal RNA", at positions 472 to 1533 of the family's 1533-position model. The record is from RNAcentral.
ACGGUAGUUACCAGAAAGGGACGGCUAACUACGUGCCAGCAGCCGCGGUAAUACGUAGGUCCCGAGCGUUGUCCGGAUUUAUUGGGCGUAAAGCGAGCGCAGGCGGUUUGAUAAGUCUGAAGUUAAAGGCUGUGGCUCAACCAUAGUUCGCUUUGGAAACUGUCAAACUUGAGUGCAGAAGGGGAGAGUGGAAUUCCAUGUGUAGCGGUGAAAUGCGUAGAUAUAUGGAGGAACACCGGUGGCGAAAGCGGCUCUCUGGUCUGUAACUGACGCUGAGGCUCGAAAGUGUGGGGAUCGAACAGGAUUAGAUACCCUGGUAGUCCACGCCGUAAACGAUGAGUGCUAGGUGUUGGAUCCUUUCCGGGAUUCAGUGCCGCAGCUAACGCAUUAAGCACUCCGCCUGGGGAGUACGACCGCAAGGUUGAAACUCAAAGGAAUUGACGGGGGCCCGCACAAGCGGUGGAGCAUGUGGUUUAAUUCGAAGCAACGCGAAGAACCUUACCGGGUCUUGACAUCCCGAUGCUAUUUCUAGAGAUAGAAAGUUACUUCGGUACAUCGGUGACAGGUGGUGCAUGGUUGUCGUCAGCUCGUGUCGUGAGAUGUUGGGUUAAGUCCCGCAACGAGCGCAACCCCUAUUGUUAGUUGCCAUCAUUCAGUUGGGCACUCUAGCGAGACUGCCGGUAAUAAACCGGAGGAAGGUGGGGAUGACGUCAAAUCAUCAUGCCCCUUAUGACCUGGGCUACACACGUGCUACAAUGGUUGGUACAACGAGUUGCGAGUCGGUGACGGCGAGCUAAUCUCUUAAAGCCAAUCUCAGUUCGGAUUGUAGGCUGCAACUCGCCUACAUGAAGUCGGAAUCGCUAGUAAUCGCGGAUCAGCACGCCGCGGUGAAUACGUUCCCGGGCCUUGUACACACCGCCCGUCACACCACGAGAGUUUGUAACACCCGAAGUCGGUGAGGUAACCUUUUGGAGCCAGCCGCCUAAGGUGGGACAGAUGAUUGGGGUGAAGUCGUAACAAGGUAGCCGUAUCGGAAGGUGCGGCUGGAUCACCUCCUUUCUAA